UAAUUAAUAAAUAAUAAUAGUUUUUGUUUACAUUCACAAAUCCAAUAUCUACUACCACCGUUUGCAAGAAUGUUAUCAACCCAAGCUGGGGUUAGUUUGUUUAUUUUUCAUUCGUUUUUGGAGUAAUGUUUUGACUCCUUGGCUCUGAAAUUAAGCCACAAAAAAAAAAAGCUACUAUUCCAUAAAGAAACCUACUCCACAAUUCCACGGCUCGCAAUACUCCCACAAACACUGGGGCUCUCCUCCUACUGUGCUCUUGCUGCAGUGCAGACUGCUGCCACCUGCCCUCAAAGAAGAAAUAUUACGGUUCACGUUUGGAAGACAUCUCACCACACUAUGGAUUUAAUCCUGGUUAAGUAUGUUGCCUGUGGCACCCUUAAACACGUGAGUGGCUUAUCAAUUUUCCCCUACUCACCUUCCAUCAUUCCAUUAAUUAUUUCUUCUAAUUUAUAUCCCUCUCUCUUUUUUUGCAGUUGCAAUUUACUGACGUCAUGUCUCACAUGCAUGCCUAACAUUGGACCUGGAUGUGGAUGAGGAGGAAGCAAAUAGAAAAACACAUGAGGUUUUUUCAGCACUUCAUAGUUUUUUGACAUCGAAAUAAUUUCUUCUAUGCCAUUGUCAGUGUAUCACCUCCACACUUCCCAGAGCUACAAAUCUAAACUCAUGCUUUAUCUUGGCCCUGGUAUUUUGAUUCCAUUCUGACCACCAGGGAUCUGAAUGCUGCUCAGCUCCAUGCAAGAUAACAUAUUUAUCAGCAUAUGACACGCACAUUUAACUCCUGAAAAGCUUUCUGUUAAAGACGGAAGAAAGAGUGAAGAUAAUGUUGAAGAUAAAGUUCUUAAAGGGUCCCAGUAGGUUGCAGUUUGCGCAGUCCUCCUUGAUAUAUCAAUCCCCCUUCAAAUCACAGUGUCCCUUUCACAGUCACGUUCUAAAGGUAUGAGGUGUCAUUUUUGUACGAAUUUUUAAAUUGAACUUUUAGGUGUAUUACAUGAAAAUGCCUAUGUGUAAAUAGGGUACAUGAUGAUAAUGGAGUUAGUGCUGUGUCCUGUUUCUUCCCAGAUCAUGCACUUACCCUGAGGAGGAGCAAUGGUCCUGCCAGAA
Molecule: long non-coding RNA, 1101 nt
Organism: Rana temporaria (common frog)
Lineage: Eukaryota; Metazoa; Chordata; Amphibia; Anura; Ranidae
Exons: 4
Source: RefSeq, a predicted model, not a curated record